AUCGAACGCUGGCGGCAGGCCUAACACAUGCAAGUCGAGCGGAUGAAGCGAGCUUGCUCCUGGAUUCACCGUCUGACGGGUGAGUAAUGCCUAGGAAUCUGCCUGGUAGUGGGGGAUAACGUCCGCAAACGGGCGCUACUACCGCAUACGUCCUGAGGGAUACAGUUGGGGAUCUUCGGACCUCACUCCCUCAGAUCAGCCUAGGUCGGAUUAGCUAGUUGGUGGGUUAAAGGCCUACCAAGGCGACGAUCCGUAACUGGUCUGAGAGGAUGAUCAGUCACAUUGGAACUGAGACACGGUCCAGACUCCUACGGGAGGCAGCAGUGGGGAAUAUUGGACAAUGGGCGAAAGUCUGUUCCAGCAAUGCCGCGUGUGUGAAGAAGGGUUUCGGAUUGUAAAGCACUUUAGGUUGGGAGGAAGGGCAGUAAGUUAAUACCUUGCUGGUUUGACGGUACUAACAGAAUAAGUAACGGCUAACUAAGUG
This 484-nucleotide ribosomal RNA is filed under the name uncultured bacterium. RNAcentral's name for it is "partial 16S ribosomal RNA". It matches the Rfam family "Bacterial small subunit ribosomal RNA", at positions 30 to 507 of the family's 1533-position model. The record is from RNAcentral.